This 580-nucleotide ribosomal RNA is filed under the name uncultured bacterium. RNAcentral's name for it is "bacterial SSU rRNA". It matches the Rfam family "Bacterial small subunit ribosomal RNA", at positions 102 to 680 of the family's 1533-position model. The record is from RNAcentral.
ACGGGUGCGGAACACGUACACAACCUUCCUUUAAGUGGGGAAUAGCCCAGGGAAACUUGGAUUAAUACCCCGUAGUAUUAUGAAGUGGCAUCACUUUAUAAUUAUAGCUCCGGCGCUUGAAGAUGGGUGUGCGGCUGAUUAGGUAGUUGGCGGGGUAACGGCCCACCAAGCCUGCGAUCAGUAACUGGUGUGAGAGCACGACCAGUCACACGGGCACUGAGACACGGGCCCGACUCCUACGGGAGGCAGCAGUAAGGAAUAUUGGGCAAUGGACGCAAGUCUGACCCAGCCAUGCCGCGUGGAGGAUGAAGGUCCUCUGGAUUGUAAACUUCUUUUCUCUGGGGCGAAAAAGGGAUAUUCUUAUCCCCCUGACAGUACCAGAGGAAUAAGCACCGGCUAACUCCGUGCCAGCAGCCGCGGUAAUACGGAGGGUGCAAGCGUUAUCCGGAUUCACUGGGUUUAAAGGGUGCGUAGGCGGGCAGGUAAGUCAGUGGUGAAAUCUCCGGGCUUAACCCGGAAACUGCCGUUGAUACUAUCUGCCUUGAAUGUCGUGGAGGUAAGCGGAAUAUGUCAUGUAGCG